AACGAACGCUGGCGGCAUGCCUAACACAUGCAAGUCGAACGAGACCUUCGGGUCUAGUGGCGCACGGGUGCGUAACGCGUGGGAACCUGCCCUUAGGUUCGGAAUAACUCCCCGAAAGGGGUGCUAAUACCGGAUAAUGUCUUCGGACCAAAGAUUUAUCGCCUUUGGAUGGGCCCGCGUUGGAUUAGCUAGUUGGUAGGGUAAAAGCCUACCAAGGCGACGAUCCAUAGCUGGUCUCAGAGGAAGAGCAGCCACACUGGGACUGAGAAACGGCCCAGAAUUCUACGGGAUGGGGGCAUGGGGGAUACUGGCACGCCGGGGGAAGCCUGAAGCCCUACUGGCGGUAGAGUGAUGAAGGCCUUGAGGUUGUAAAGUGCGUUUACCCGGGAUGAUAAUGACAGUACCGGGAGAAUAAGCUCCGGCUAACUCCGUG
Molecule: ribosomal RNA, 433 nt
Filed under: uncultured bacterium
Lineage: Bacteria
Description: partial 16S ribosomal RNA
Rfam family: Bacterial small subunit ribosomal RNA
Source: RNAcentral